This 468-nucleotide ribosomal RNA is filed under the name uncultured bacterium. RNAcentral's name for it is "partial 16S ribosomal RNA". It matches the Rfam family "Bacterial small subunit ribosomal RNA", at positions 28 to 507 of the family's 1533-position model. The record is from RNAcentral.
GACGAACGCUGGCGGCGUGCUUAACACAUGCAAGUCGAACGGAAAGGCCCUGCUUUUGUGGGGUGCUCGAGUGGCGAACGGGUGAGUAACACGUGAGUAACCUGCCCUUGACUUUGGGAUAACUUCAGGAAACUGGGGCUAAUACCGGAUAGGAGCUCCUGCUGCAUGGUGGGGGUGGGAAAUUUUCGGCGGUUGGGGAUGGACUCGCGGCUUAUCAGCUUGUUGGUGGGGUAGUGGCUUACCAAGGCUUUGACGGGUAGCCGGCCUGAGAGGGUGACCGGCCACAUUGGGACUGAGAUACGGCCCAGACUCCUACGGGAGGCAGCAGAGGGGAAUAUUGCACAAUGGGCGGAAGCCUGAUGCAGCAACGCCGCGUGCGGGAUGACGGCCUUCGGGUUGUAAACCGCUUUCGCCUGUGACGAAGCGUGAGUGACGGUAAUGGGUAAAGAAGCACCGGCUAACUACGUG